This 751-nucleotide small nucleolar RNA is filed under the name Tetranychus urticae (two-spotted spider mite). RNAcentral describes it as "snoRNA tetur233g00041". The record is from RNAcentral. Lineage: Eukaryota; Metazoa; Arthropoda; Arachnida; Trombidiformes; Tetranychidae.
AAUCUUAUGUAUUUUUCUCUGAGAUCAACAGUUUUCGAGAUUUUUAAGGUCAAAGUGCGUAACUUUCGGGUCUCUUGCAGGCCAAACCAAAGCCUAUUGCAUCUUUAUAUUGCAAUUUUAUGUAGAUUAUAUUUAGUACAAGGGAAUAAACGUAUGAAAAGUUUUAUAUCAGUUACGCGUGCUGAGAUAAUUGAGUUUAGAAAAAUUCUGAAAAAAUGCGCUCAUAUCAGCCGAUAACUCGAUGUAUAGAUGAUUGCUUAUUAACUAGAUAAUCUUUCAUAUUUUUGCCCAACGGUUUAUAGAUUUGACUCCACGCUGUAAAGAAGUAUAAAAAUAUCGAAAAUGGUCAGGUUCAGAUGACAUUUAUUUUCUCCUAUGGGGUUUAACAUGGGCAUUAGCCUUAUAUUCAACUUGAGUUUUUUCGCUCAUCUUAAUAGAUAAUCAAAAUGUUGAAGGUCAUUUGCAUGCACAAUCUUGAUUUUAUUAUUUGAACAAAGACAGGUAUUGAUAUCUAAAGCAGUAAUCAUAUGAGCGCAUUUUUUCAGAAUUUUUCUAAACUCAAUUAUCUCAGCACGCGUAACUGAUAUAAAACUUUUCAUACGUUUAAUCCCUUGUACUAAAUAUAAUCUACAUAGAAUUGCAAUAUAAAGAUGCAAUAGGCUUUGGUUUGGCCUGCAAGAGACCCGAAAGUUACGCACUUUGACCUUAAAAAUCUCGAAAACUGUUGAUCUCAGAGAAAAAUACAUAAGAU